UCCUGAUUUAGAUAAAAUGGAUUCAAAUACAGUUUUUGAAACAAAACGAAUGUGAUUUGAAGAUCCCUAGGAAGAUCAAAUUCCUAGCUUACAUUUGCAUGGUGAGUUCAACAAGUAUUUGUUAUUAGAGAACAAGUAACACAGUUAGUGGUGUAGGGAAGCAAACGAAUGUAACACCAAUUGAAAGUCCUUCAACAAGUAGAGAUGCACACAUGUUUCAAUCAUUUGAGAUACCCUUUUGUAGAAGUAUUUGGAAGAUAACUAUUAAUAAUUUCAUUUGUAAAGAUACGAUUUGUAAAAAAGUAUAUACAAAGUGGUUUUGCUGGUAUUAAAUAAAUAAAUAAAAAUAC
This 350-nucleotide long non-coding RNA is filed under the name Diabrotica virgifera virgifera (western corn rootworm). RNAcentral describes it as "uncharacterized LOC126879302". The record is from RNAcentral. Lineage: Eukaryota; Metazoa; Arthropoda; Insecta; Coleoptera; Chrysomelidae.